Molecule: ribosomal RNA, 750 nt
Filed under: uncultured bacterium
Lineage: Bacteria
Description: bacterial SSU rRNA
Rfam family: Bacterial small subunit ribosomal RNA
Source: RNAcentral
UAGAGUUUGAUCCUGGCUCAGAUUGAACGCUGGCGGCAGGCCUAACACAUGCAAGUCGAGCGGAUGAGGGGAGCUUGCUCCCUGAUUUAGCGGCGGACGGGUGAGUAAUGCCUAGGAAUCUGCCUGGUAGUGGGGGAUAACGUUCCGAAAGGAACGCUAAUACCGCAUACGUCCUACGGGAGAAAGCAGGGGACCUUCGGGCCUUGCGCUAUCAGAUGAGCCUAGGUCGGAUUAGCUAGUUGGUGAGGUAAUGGCUCACCAAGGCGACGAUCCGUAACUGGUCUGAGAGGAUGAUCAGUCACACUGGAACUGAGACACGGUCCAGACUCCUACGGGAGGCAGCAGUGGGGAAUAUUGGACAAUGGGCGAAAGCCUGAUCCAGCCAUGCCGCGUGUGUGAAGAAGAUCUUCGGAUUGUAAAGCACUUUAAGUUGGGAGGAAGGGCAUUAACCUAAUACGUUAGUGUUUUGACGUUACCAACAGAAUAAGCACCGGCUAACUUCGUGCCAGCAGCCGCGGUAAUACGAAGGGUGCAAGCGUUAAUCGGAAUUACUGGGCGUAAAGCGCGCGUAGGUGGUUCGUUAAGUUGGAUGUGAAAGCCCCGGGCUCAACCUGGGAACUGCAUCCAAAACUGGCGAGCUAGAGUACGGUAGAGGGUGGUGGAAUUUCCUGUGUAGCGGUGAAAUGCGUAGAUAUAGGAAGGAACACCAGUGGCGAAGGCGACCACCUGGACUGAUACUGACACUGAGGU